Myotis davidii is the source of this 538-nucleotide long non-coding RNA. RefSeq lists it as uncharacterized. The transcript is spliced from 4 exons. NCBI's taxonomy places the organism in Eukaryota, Metazoa, Chordata, Mammalia, Chiroptera, Vespertilionidae. The record is from RefSeq and is a predicted model, not a curated record.
UUAGCCUUUCUACUUGGUUGGUGUAUCGGUCAGAGUUCUCCAGAGAAACAGAACAAAUAGAAUGUUUUCUAGGUUCCAUCACACUCUAUAAGUGCUGUGAUUCUGUAUUUAUGGAAAGCUGUUUUCCAGUCUCAAAAGAACUUGAUGAGAGUUUCUGUGUCAAACUUCAUAUAUUUCAAAAUGGACAUUUCUCAAUGCAGUUUGCAUUUCUUCAUCAUUUGUGAGGAGAAAUCAGCUUCCAUGUCAUGAGGACACUCAAACGGCCCCAUGGAGAGGUGCCUGUGGCGAGUUGCUGAGGCCUCCUGCCAAAGGCCGUAUAAACCUUGGAAAUGGAUUCUUCAGCUGCCGUGGGGCCUUGAGGUGACUGCAACCUUGUUCUAGGUCUUGACUGCAACCUCCUAACAGACCCUGAGCUGGAACCACUCAGGUGUGUCACUUCCAUCCUGACCCUCGGAAAAUGUGUGAGAGUACAGAGAAUGGGAACGAGCCAGCCUGGAUUGUGCUUACUAUUUAGAAAAAGUGGAAAAGAAAGAAACCA